Molecule: long non-coding RNA, 330 nt
Organism: Sus scrofa (pig)
Lineage: Eukaryota; Metazoa; Chordata; Mammalia; Artiodactyla; Suidae
Source: RefSeq, a predicted model, not a curated record
GCAGCGGCGUCUGUGCGGCGGUCACCGGCCGGGCCGGCCCGGGGGACGCCUCCACCUGCAGGCUCUGCUCAGGGUCGUCGCUCAUGCUGCGGGCGGGCAAGAGGGCGGCGUGAGCGAGCCUCCGGCGGCAGGCUGAGAGCUGGCAAGGAGGGAGAGCCCAGCGAGCUGCCCCGGACCCCGGCUCGCCUGCAAGUUGCGGUCUAUGAGCUGGUUGGUUUCGAAGUCGUCGUCAUCCUCACCGAAGGGAUUGAUGAUCUGUUCUGCUACCUACGGGCGAGGUGGAAUCGGAGCUACCGCUGCCGGCCUACGCCACAGCCACAGCAAUGCGGG